RNAcentral lists this long non-coding RNA (985 nucleotides) under Anas platyrhynchos (mallard). Its description in RNAcentral is "lncRNA (ENSAPLG00020000707.1)". Lineage: Eukaryota; Metazoa; Chordata; Aves; Anseriformes; Anatidae. The record is from RNAcentral.
ACAUUAUUAACAUUAUCUUUCUUCUUUCUAAGGAAAGACAGUGGACAUCAUGCUGCUAAGCCUCACAUUGCUUUGCCUUCUAAUUUUCCUUGGAGGUUUGCUGAUAUGUACGUGUAGAAGGUAUAGAUGCCUGGAAGUUAUAACCAUGCCUGUUCCACAUCCUACAGAUAAUAUCAUAACUUGGUUAGCUGCAGAUGAGACUCACCACCAGAAACAAAUUUCAAUGCAAAUGGAAAUGCACUCAGAGGUUGUUCUGGGAAUACUAGAAGAGAAUGGAGACAACAUUCACCAAAAGGGACAUUUGAAGGAUUUUGAAUUAGAAGACCUGUAGGAGUGAUAUACCUUCUUUAUUUACAUGCAAGAGUUAACUUUCUGUUAGCUGGAUGAUAUUCUGACUGACUUAAGAAAGGUUGAUAUUGGAGUUUGUCUGACACAAAUAGUCUAUUACAUUGUGCAACUCUUAAAAUGAGCUCAAAAAACACUGCCUUGUAAUUUAUCUCUAACUACUACUGAUCUUCAGCCCAGUAAAAUUACAGCAGCCGAAACAGUAUGAUUGAAUAUUGGAGUCCACUUGGGUCAAGACAGAAUCAGAAUUUCUCUCCUAUAAUGCUGCAAUAGUUUCCAAAUAAUGUCCAAUAAACUACUGCCUUUGGACGGGUUCUUCAUACAAAUUCCAUGCCAACUAUUCAAUGUCUGAUUGCAGAUAUAAGAAAUGAUGGAAACAACACACAUUUCUGGAAACAGCAGCAGAAGCUCACAAUGGUUCUUUAAAGUUCCAAAAAUAAUUUUCUGAGGUACUACAUUGUACGAGUAGACAUUAACUAGAAACAGUCAUGUGAGAUGACAUAAGGUUUUUAAAUGUGAUGGACUUAAUCCUUUGUAGUUAACAAAAGCAGAAAAUCUUUGACAAGGUAAAGAAAACAAUAUUGUUGAUGUAUUAUAACUGUUUGAAUAAAUAUAACUCAGAGAAUUACAAGUUCAGAAC